This is a long non-coding RNA of Solanum dulcamara, 423 nucleotides long. RefSeq lists it as uncharacterized. The record is from RefSeq and is a predicted model, not a curated record. The transcript has 4 exons. Lineage: Eukaryota; Viridiplantae; Streptophyta; Magnoliopsida; Solanales; Solanaceae.
UUUAUCAACAAGAGGAUUCAAGAGAGUUCUAGAGAGAAAGGAAGAGAAGAAACUUGAAGCUAGAGAAAGAAUAGGUUCGGCCAAGGAAAAAAAAGCCCAAAACGUCACCGAACAGCCCCAAAGUUUUAGCCGCGCUAGGAGAGCUUCCGAGGCAAGUUUUGGAGAGUUUCGGUAAAGACUAACAAGUUGGAAGAAUAAGAAAAGCUAGUAAAGCGCGGUACAGGUACACCUAGACAAGUAGAAACUACUAUAGAAGAUGUUCCAGCGGAGUUGGCAACUCCACUUGUUCUGGAGUGCUGUCGAGUCAGAGUUUAUACGCUAUGAUGUUUCAUUCGAAGUUAGAGACUUUGCAGACAGAGUCGUGGGUAUAGAGUGACAGCUUUGUAAGCGGCGUCACCAACCGAUAUGUUAUUAUGUAGUAUG